This 1270-nucleotide long non-coding RNA is filed under the name Equus caballus (horse). RNAcentral describes it as "lncRNA (ENSECAG00000055824.1)". The record is from RNAcentral. Lineage: Eukaryota; Metazoa; Chordata; Mammalia; Perissodactyla; Equidae.
UUUUUUUUUUUUUUUUUGAGGAAGAUUAGCCCUGAGCUGACAUCUGCUGCCAAUCCUCCUCUUUUUGCUGAGGAAGACUGGCCCUGAGCUAACAUCCGUGCCCAUCUUCCUCUACUUUAUACGUGGAACGCCUACCACAGCGUGACUUGCCAAGCGGUACCAUGUCCACACCCGGGAUCCCAACAGGCAAACCCCAGGUCGCCCAAGUGGAACGUGGGCACUUACACGCUGCGCCACCAGACCAGCCCCUAAACUCCCUUUCAAUAACACUCAGUCUUAUCCAGGAGACACUGGCGCACGGCAAUAAUAAUGGGUAUGUUUGAAGACUUGCCCAAGCUCACACCCUUGUUGGCCAGAAUCCAUUUUUGUGGCUUGAUACUGAUGAAGAGGUCCUGCUGAGAAAUCUCCAACGUCUCUCUGAGGCCUGUAACACAAAGGGCAGGCAGCAUCCACGAGUCCCGACAAGCUCUGGAAAAUGAUCUGAAAAACAAAAGUCUUUGCAUUCCAGGGCUAAAUUCUUCUUGGUCAUGGUGAAUGAUUCUAUUAAUGUAUUAUUGAAUUGUUUGCUAUUAUUUUAUUUAUAGUUUUUCAUCUAGUGCCUUGAUCUUCUGUUCUCUCUUUUUUUCCCCACUAUAUUCUUCAAGAUUGGAUUUCAGGGUUCUUCUAUCCUCAUAAAAUGAAUUAGAGAAUUUUCCAUGCUUUUCUAGAAUCUGGAACUGUUAGCCAAGUAUAGGAAUAAUCUGUUACUGGAAAAUUUGGGGAAAAAAACACAUUAGAAAAAUCUCUCUUCCGGGAGGCUAUUUUAGAGCUACCAUUUAAUGACACUUUAACUUUUUAAUUUUCAUGUGAUUAUUUUUCUCUUCAGACUUAUUACUUUUUCAUGAGUCAGUUUUUGUAAUUCAUACUUCACAAAAGCAUCUGCAUCACUUUUUCAUUUCUUUACAGAGUCGUACAUAGGAAUAUCUUAGCUUUUUAACCUACGUGCCUUUUAGAGUUCCUCAUAAUCUAUAAUUUUAUUUGUUUUGUUUUUCCCCUCUUCAGUCAAUUUGCCAGAGGUUUAUUUAUAUUAUCGGUUUUCUUCCAAGCCACCUCUCAGUUGCAUUUAUUACAUCUCGAGCUUUUCUGUUUUCGAAUCUAUGGAUUUCUCCUUUGUUCUUUAAAAGAUUUAUUUUUCUUGACUGCCUUAAAAUUUUUUGCUAAUUUUCAUACUUCUUGAUUUUAAAGCUAACUUCAUUCAUUUUUAUUUUCAACAAUAAAAAGCAAUCUAAGG